This 535-nucleotide ribosomal RNA is filed under the name uncultured Septoglomus. Its description in RNAcentral is "LSU rRNA". It matches the Rfam family "Eukaryotic large subunit ribosomal RNA", at positions 288 to 673 of the family's 3401-position model. The record is from RNAcentral. Lineage: Eukaryota; Fungi; Glomeromycota; Glomeromycetes; Glomerales; Glomeraceae.
CAAAAUGGGAGGUAAAUUUCUCCUAAGGCUAAAUAUUGGCGAGAGACCGAUAGCGAACAAGUACCGUGAGGGAAAGAUGAAAAGAACUUUGAAAAGAGAGUUAAACAGUACGUGAAAUUGUUGAAAGGGAAACGAUUGAAGUCAGUCGUACUAACGGGAAAUCAACCUAUUUGAGUUGUGAGUUUUGGAUUUUGAAGAGUGUAAACCUUCAGGUACAAAUAUUUGCGGCUUUUUGGGCGUAAUUUCUCGUUCGGUAGGUUAACAUCGAUUUUGAAGAUUAUAAAAUGGUCGGAGGAAUGUGGCUUCGAUCUCGUAUUGAAGUGUUAUAGCCUUUGGUAGAUGUAAUGAUCAAGAUCGAGGAUUGCAACGAAUACCCUUUGGGCUAUCCGCCUGAUCUCUGAUACGUUGCCUUGGUAGCGAAAGCUUGCUUACGGUAUCGAGGUAUUACGGUCAAAAGGUUAGAACGUGAUUACAUUCGUUAAGGAUGUUGACGUAAUGGCUUCAAACGACCCGUCUUGAAACACGGACCAAGGAG